RNAcentral lists this ribosomal RNA (426 nucleotides) under uncultured bacterium. RNAcentral's name for it is "bacterial SSU rRNA". It matches the Rfam family "Bacterial small subunit ribosomal RNA", at positions 28 to 426 of the family's 1533-position model. The record is from RNAcentral.
GACGAACGCUGGCGGCGUGCCUAAUACAUGCAAGUCGAGCGAGCUGAAUUCACAGAUUCCUUCGGGAUGACGUGCUGGGCGCUAGCGGCGGAUGGGUGAGUAACACGUGGGCAAUCUGCCCUAAAGACUGGGAUACCACUUGGAAACAGGUGCUAAUACCGGAUAACAAUGAUGGUUGCAUGACCAUUAUUUGAAAGGCGGCGUAAGCUGUCACUUUAGGAUGAGCCCGCGGUGCAUUAGCUAGUUGGUGAGGUAACGGCUCACCAAGGCGAUGAUGCAUAGCCGAGUUGAGAGGCUGAUCGGCCACAUUUGGGGACUGAGACACGGGCCCAAAACUCCUACGGGAGGCAGCAGUAGGGAAUCUUCCACAAUGGACGCAAGUCUGAUGGAGCAACGCCGCGUGAGUGAAGAAGGUUUUCGGAUCGU